GAUGAACGCUGGCGGCGUGCCUAAUACAUGCAAGUCGAGCGAACAGACGAGGAGCUUGCUCCUCUGACGUUAGCGGCGGACGGGUGAGUAACACGUGGAUAACCUACCUAUAAGACUGGGAUAACUUCGGGAAACCGGAGCUAAUACCGGAUAAUAUAUUGAACCGCAUGGUUCAAUAGUGAAAGACGGUUUUGCUGUCACUUAUAGAUGGAUCCGCGCCGCAUUAGCUAGUUGGUAAGGUAACGGCUUACCAGGGCGACGAUGCGUAGCCGACCUGAGAGGGUGAUCGGCCACACUGGAACUGAGCCACGGUCCAGACUCCUACGGGAGGCAGCAGUAGGGAAUCUUCCGCAAUGGGCGAAAGCCUGACGGAGCAACGCCGCGUGAGUGAUGAAGGUCUUCGGAUCGUAAAACUCUGUUAUUAGGGAAGAACAAAUGUGUAAGUAACUAUGCACGUCUUGACGGUACCUAAUCAGAAAGCCACGGCUAACUACGUG
This 497-nucleotide ribosomal RNA is filed under the name uncultured bacterium. RNAcentral's name for it is "partial 16S ribosomal RNA". It matches the Rfam family "Bacterial small subunit ribosomal RNA", at positions 28 to 507 of the family's 1533-position model. The record is from RNAcentral.